AUGCCCCUACGGUGUUCGUCAGGAUUGCAAAUGCUUUGAACCAAUAAUUUUGGCUCGGUUGCGGUAAAUCACAGUGCCGUUGUGCGUAUUACCCGUUUAAUGCGCCUGAAGCACUGUCACUGCGACCACUUGAACUCAGGUUCAAGCCAUGAUCCAACGGCAUCUGCGGGGGCUCC
This 176-nucleotide non-coding RNA is filed under the name Betaproteobacteria bacterium. RNAcentral's name for it is "6S RNA". It matches the Rfam family "6S / SsrS RNA". From Rfam's summary of the family: E. coli 6S RNA was the first non coding RNA to be sequenced, but its function was unknown until recently. It consists of 184 nucleotides that fold into an extended hairpin structure with a large single-stranded internal bulge. The record is from RNAcentral. Lineage: Bacteria; Pseudomonadati; Pseudomonadota; Betaproteobacteria.